This 71-nucleotide transfer RNA is filed under the name Candidatus Aquivivens invisus. Its description in RNAcentral is "Omnitrophica WOR_2 bacterium GWA2_63_20 tRNA-Gly". It matches the Rfam family "tRNA". From Rfam's summary of the family: Transfer RNA (tRNA) molecules are approximately 80 nucleotides in length. Their secondary structure includes four short double-helical elements and three loops (D, anti-codon, and T loops). Lineage: Bacteria; Pseudomonadati; Candidatus Omnitrophota. RNAcentral also lists the same sequence under 5 other names. The record is from RNAcentral.
GCGGGUAUAGCACAGUGGUAGUGCACCAGUUUUCCAAACUGGCUACGCGGGUUCGAUUCCCGCUACCCGCU